This 338-nucleotide long non-coding RNA is filed under the name Homo sapiens (human). RNAcentral's name for it is "HSALNT0253579". Lineage: Eukaryota; Metazoa; Chordata; Mammalia; Primates; Hominidae. The record is from RNAcentral.
GGAAAGGCUAAGCAUGUGUUGACUUUCAAAGAAGGGAAAUAGUAAAGUGUGUCAUCUGCUCCUGGAGAAGGUCUCACAGAGUGGACAUUAUGAAUUGUGUGGCAGGAAUGAGGUCAUUAAAAAGAUGAAAGGGGCCGGGACCCAGGGCUUGGAGUCUAGGGGUAGGCAGCUUCCUUCCAGUGUCACAGAGAGAAGACACAGGAGAGAUGGGGAAGAGCCUCGGGGUGUUCAAUUUGCUGGUGACAGGGUCUGGCUCACGGUCAACACAUCUCGGUGGGUGUUGACCAAUUCUCCACUGGAUACCAAGGCCAAGCGCCCUCCCAGUGAUCCCCUGAGGG